RNAcentral lists this unclassified non-coding RNA (233 nucleotides) under plant metagenome. RNAcentral describes it as "partial contains small subunit ribosomal RNA, internal transcribed spacer 1, and 5.8S ribosomal RNA". The record is from RNAcentral.
UUUCCGUAGGUGAACCUGCGGAAGGAUCAUUAUUGGAUUUUGAAACUUCAGGCUGCUGCUGGCUCUCCUCGGAGGGCAUGUGCACGCUUGUUGUCCAUAAUUUCUCCCACUGUGCACAAAUUGUAGACCUUUCAGUAGGCCUAUGUUGUUUUUCACAAUCUCUGAAUGUAAUAGAAUGGUUUUGAAUCUUGGGAAAUACAAUACAACUUUCAGCAACGGAUCUCUUGGCUCUC